UUCCAGACUCCUACGGGAGGCAGCAGUGAGGAAUAUUGGUCAAUGGGCGGGAGCCUGAACCAGCCAUGCCGCGUGAAGGCGAGUGCCCUACGGGCGUUAAACUUCUUUUGUGCGGGAGCAAUAAGGGCCACGCGUGGCCCGAUGAGAGUACCGCACGAAUAAGCAUCGGCUAACUCCGUGCCAGCAGCCGCGGUAAUACGGGGGAUGCGAGCGUUAUCCGGAUUUAUUGGGUUUAAAGGGUGCGCAGGCGGAGGUGCAAGUCAGCGGUCAAAUUGCGGGGCUCAACCCCGUACUGCCGUUGAAACUGCAUCCCUUGAGUGCGCGAGAAGUAUGCGGAAUGCGUGGUGUAGCGGUGAAAUGCAUAGAUAUCGCGCAGAACUCCGAUUGCGAAGGCAGCAUGCCGGCUCCACACUGACGCUGAGGCACGAAAGCGUGGGUAUCGAACAGGAUUAGAUACCCUUGUA
RNAcentral lists this ribosomal RNA (464 nucleotides) under uncultured bacterium. RNAcentral's name for it is "bacterial SSU rRNA". It matches the Rfam family "Bacterial small subunit ribosomal RNA", at positions 329 to 792 of the family's 1533-position model. The record is from RNAcentral.